This 2648-nucleotide unclassified non-coding RNA is filed under the name Nilaparvata lugens (brown planthopper). RNAcentral's name for it is "bTB/POZ domain-containing adapter for CUL3-mediated RhoA degradation protein 3, transcript variant X1". The record is from RNAcentral. Lineage: Eukaryota; Metazoa; Arthropoda; Insecta; Hemiptera; Delphacidae.
UCCACCAUUUUGCUUCGUCUUCUGCUGUGAGUUGUUUUGUCAAAGUUGUCUGCUUUUUUAGGGUGUGAUUCACUGAAAAAUGUAACUUUUUGAGUUGAAAUAUGUGAUUUCAAAUUUUAAAACGGCCUAGUAGCUUCUAACAGCUUUCAUAUCUCAAUUUAGGUUAAUUUUCAACUAACUUCGUCACAAUCUGUUGAAGUCGAUAAUAGUUAGGUUAUAUCGUGUGUGAUCUAGCCCAAAUGUGAUUGAGUGCUUCGUAUAUUUUGUUUGGAAACGUUUAAAUUAAUCUAGAUUCAAUAUGUCUGGUGACAGAAAAACUGUCAUUAAAGGAAAUCCAUCUCAGUAUGUGAAAUUAAACAUUGGUGGCUCUUUGUAUUACACAACUAUAGGAACUCUUACAAAAUUAGACACAAUGCUAAGAGCAAUGUUUAGUGGACGUAUGGAGGUCCUUACAGAUUCAGAAGGCUGGAUCCUGAUAGACCGUUGCGGCAAGCACUUUGGUCGCAUCCUCACCUACCUGCGGGACGGUUCGCUGCCGCUUCCGGCCAGCGUCGUCGAGCUGUGCGAACUGCGAGCCGAGGCCAAGUACUACUGUAUCGGCGAACUGGCCGCCGACUGUGAUGCAGCCCUCAGUCGCCGUAGACAGGUGCAGGCCGAGCCAAUUUGUCGGGUGCCGCUCAUCAACAGUCAAAAGGAGGAGCAGUUGUUGAUCAGCUCUUCUUCUAAGCCUGUGGUGAAGUUACUUAUCAAUAGACACAACAAUAAAUACUCCUAUACAAGCGCAUCAGACGACAACCUUUUGAAAAACAUCGAACUAUUCGACAAGUUGUCGCUGCGUUUCUUCGGUCGUGUGCUGUUCAUCAAAGACGUGAUUGGUUCGAAUGAGAUCUGCUGCUGGAGCUUUUAUGGUCACGAGAAAAAAGUGGCUGAAGUAUGCUGCACGUCUAUCGUCUAUGCUACCGACAAAAAACACACUAAGGUGGAGUUCCCAGAAGCGCGUAUCUACGAGGAGACUCUGAACAUCCUGCUGUACGAGAGCAGGGUUGGCGGUGAAGAGGGGGCUGGUGGGGGCGCCGAUGGAGGGGAUGUGCUGAUGAUGGCCACCUCCUCCUCACUGGCUCUGGCAUCCUCCUCCUACACGACAACGGCGACCACCAGCGAUGAGGAGGAGCGCUCCUCCUCUGGAUUGGCCAAGUUGCGCUACAACAAGCAGAGCAACCAAUGAUAGGGACAUCGGUGAGAUGUGGUGCAGUGUGGUGUGCUGUGAACUGGGCUUUUGGACAAGGAAGGUGACAUGACUGUGAACUGGGCUUUUAGACAAGGAAGGUGACAUGACUGUGAACUGGGCUUUUGGACAAGGAAGGUGGUAUGACUGUGAACUGGGCUUUUGGAGAAGGAAGGUGACAUGACUGUGAACUGGGGUUGGUUUCAGAGAACUUUUAGAAGGAGUGACAUGAUUGUGAACUUGGCUUUUGGACAAAGAAGGUGACAUGACUGUGAACUAGGCUUUUAGACAAGGAAGGUGACAUGACUGUGAACUGGGCUUUUAGACAAGGAAGGUGGUAUGACUGUGAACUGGGCUUUUGGAGAAGGAAGGUGACAUGACUGUGAACUGGGGUUUGUUUCAGAGAACCUUUAGAAGGAGUGAGAUGAUUGUGAAUAUAGAAGGAGGUGAUAUGAUAGUAAACUUGGUUUAGUGGCAAUGUAGGAAGGAAGGUGACUUGAUUCUGAACUGGGGUUUGUUUCCGAGAACAUAGAAGAAGUGACAUGAUUGUGAACUGUGUUUUUUGACAGAGCAGGUGACAUUAUACUAAAGUUUGAAGUUACAGUGUGUAGGGAUGAAUGGAGCAGAACUUGACUCAAGGCACGCUUGAAUAUUGAUAUCAACCAUUGAUUGAUUAGAUUCAUAAGGUUGAGACCAUAUUAGGCGUUUCCAGAAUAAGCAGGGCAGGAAGCUCUCCAAUUCUCUGAUUGGGUUGACGCUUGAAAAACGCCUAAUUUGGUCUCGCUCUAACUCUGUUGUGAAACGAGUGAGAUUAUCAAGUCACAAAAAUACUCUGGUGUUGAGCAAAAACUGAUAUUUACUCGAUUCUGAAGUGGGGGUUAAUUUUUAAUUGACUCAAGGAACACUUAAAAUUAAUCCAACAUAUCGGACAAACUAGCUAGCUAAUGAAAGUCUUGGAAAUUGUUCACAUGGCUCUAGUAAGCUAGUCUAGAAACGUUUUUAUCUUCGGACAAAUUUACUGAUAUAGAGCUUCCUAAAAUUCUAUCUAGAUUUAUCUAUGUUUUGACGUUUUAGAGAGAUCUAUGAUAGCGUUAUACUAUACUAAUUUUUCACGAUAAUUCUUUUAUGUUUUGGUUCCAAAUUAUUUACAAAAAUGUUAGCCAAAUAUAAUUUUGUAUAAAACUGACUGUGUAUCGAACCUUAAUAUUAUUAUAACAAUUUUCAGAAACAUUCAAAACUAGGGAUAGACUUUUGUCACAGAUGAUAGAGAACCUUUAGUAACAGAUAGAUUCUCUAUUAUUUGUGCUUGUGUACUUUUCUAAGCUAGUCCUAUUAUUGUUGAUUUAUUUUUAAUUAAUAUAACUCUAGGGAAAUUGUUCUAGUUAGAGUUUUAUAUUACUAUGGGAAUAAAUUAUCAGAUUUA